GGCCCCAUGGUCAAGCGGCUAAGACAUCGCCUUCUCACGGCGGAAACAGGGGUUCGAUUCCCCUUGGGGCUA
This 72-nucleotide transfer RNA is filed under the name Desulfosporosinus sp. Tol-M. It matches the Rfam family "tRNA". From Rfam's summary of the family: Transfer RNA (tRNA) molecules are approximately 80 nucleotides in length. The record is from Rfam by way of RNAcentral. Lineage: Bacteria; Bacillati; Bacillota; Clostridia; Eubacteriales; Desulfitobacteriaceae.